UGGCGAUGCGUUCAUUCAAAGUUUCUUGCCACUAUCAAGUUUCGAUGGUCAGGCAUCAGAGGCUCACCAAUGGCUUUUUACGGGUAACUGCGCGACAUUAGGGUUCGAUUACCGUGAGAGGGCAGCCUGAGAAACGGAUACCAUCAUCUAAUGGAAUGAGCAGCAGUGAGCAAAAUUACCCAAUCCUGAUUCAGGGAGGUAGUGACAAUAAAUAACAAUCCAGGACUUCGGUCUUGGAAUUGGAAUGAGAACAAUUUAAAUCUCUUAUCGACGGAACAAUUGGAAGGGCAAGUCUGGUGCCAGCAGCCGCGGUAAUUCCAGCUCCAAUAGCGUAUAUUAAAGUUGUUGCAGUUAAAAAGCUCGUAAGUUGAAUUUUAGGCCUGGUUUGGACGGUCUGCCUUU
This 402-nucleotide ribosomal RNA is filed under the name uncultured fungus. RNAcentral describes it as "bacterial SSU rRNA". It matches the Rfam family "Eukaryotic small subunit ribosomal RNA", at positions 282 to 668 of the family's 1831-position model. Lineage: Eukaryota; Fungi. The record is from RNAcentral.